RNAcentral lists this ribosomal RNA (497 nucleotides) under uncultured bacterium. RNAcentral describes it as "partial 16S ribosomal RNA". It matches the Rfam family "Bacterial small subunit ribosomal RNA", at positions 28 to 507 of the family's 1533-position model. The record is from RNAcentral.
GAUGAACGCUGGCGGCGUGCCUAAUACAUGCAAGUCGAGCGAACAGACGAGGAGCUUGCUCCUCUGACGUGAGCGGCGGAGGGGAGAGUAACACGUGGAUAACCUACUUAUAAGACGGGGAAAAUCUCGGGAAAACGGAGAUAAUACCGGAUAAUAUAUUGAACCGCAGGGUUCAAUAGUGAAAGACGGGUUUUCUGGCACUAAUAGAUGGAUCCUGGCCGCAUUAGCUAGUUGGUAAGGUAACGGCUUAUCAAGGCGACGAUGCGUAGCCGACCUGAGAGAGUGGUAGGCCACACUGGAGCUGAGCCACCGUCCAGACUCCUACGGGAGGCAGCAGUCGGGUAUCUUCCGCAGUGGGCGAAAGCCUGACAGAGCAACGCCGCGUGUGUUAUGACGGUCUUCGGAUCGUAAAACUCUGUUAUUAGGGAUGAACAACUGUGUCAGUAACUAUGCCCGUCUUGACGGUACCUAAUCAAAAAGCAACGGCUAACUACGUG